UACGUAGGGUGCGAGCGUUAAUCGGAAUUACUGGGCGUAAAGCGUGCGCAGGCGGUUUUGUAAGCCAGAUGUGAAAGCCCCGGGCUCAACCUGGGAAUGGCAUUUGGGACUGCAAGGCUAGAGUGCGGCAGAGGAGACUGGAAUUCCUGGUGUAGCAGUGAAAUGCGUAGAUAUCAGGAGGAAUACCGAUGGCGAAGGCAGGUCUCUGGGCUGACACUGACGCUCAUGCACGAAAGCGUGGGGAGCAAACAG
RNAcentral lists this ribosomal RNA (252 nucleotides) under uncultured bacterium. Its description in RNAcentral is "partial 16S ribosomal RNA". It matches the Rfam family "Bacterial small subunit ribosomal RNA", at positions 524 to 775 of the family's 1533-position model. The record is from RNAcentral.